RNAcentral lists this ribosomal RNA (458 nucleotides) under uncultured bacterium. RNAcentral describes it as "partial 16S ribosomal RNA". It matches the Rfam family "Bacterial small subunit ribosomal RNA", at positions 338 to 795 of the family's 1533-position model. The record is from RNAcentral.
CCUACGGGUGGCAGCAGUGAGGAAUAUUGCACAAUGGGCGCAAGCCUGAUGCAGCGACGCCGCGUGCGGGAUGGAGGCCUUCGGGUUGUUAACCGCUUUUGUUCAAGGGCCAGGCACGGUCUUUGGCCGUGUUGAGUGGAUUGUUCGAAUAAGAUCCGGCUAACUCCGUGCCAGCACACGCGGUAAAACGUAGGGUGCAAGCGUGAUCCGGAUUUAUUGGGCGUAAAGGGCUCGUAGGCGGUUCGUCGCGUCCGGUGUGAAAGUCCAUCGCUUAACGGUGGAUCCGCGCCGGGUACGGGCGGGCUUGAGUGCGGGAGGGGAGACUGGAAUUCCCGGUGUAACGGUGGAAUGUGUAGAUAUCGGGAAGAACACCAAUUGCGAAGGCAGGUCUCUGGGCCGUUACUGACGCUGAGGAGCGAAAGCGUGGGGAGCGAACAGGAUUAGAUACCCCUGUAGUC